AUGCGUAUUAGGUUGAAUUGGCGUUCUUGUCGCAUAUAUAUAUAUAUAUAUAUAUAUAUAUAUAUAUAUAUAUAUAUAUAUAUAUAUAUAUAUAUAUAUAUAUAUAUAUAUAUACGACAAAAACGCCAAUUCAACCUAAUACGCAU
This is a non-coding RNA of Paramuricea clavata, 146 nucleotides long. The record is from the annotation of a GenBank genome assembly. Lineage: Eukaryota; Metazoa; Cnidaria; Anthozoa; Malacalcyonacea; Plexauridae.